This 2945-nucleotide long non-coding RNA is filed under the name Homo sapiens (human). RNAcentral's name for it is "HSALNT0377950". The record is from RNAcentral. Lineage: Eukaryota; Metazoa; Chordata; Mammalia; Primates; Hominidae.
ACUCUGCGCGCCCUCGGCUGCGGGGUAGCGGGCAGCCCUGCGCUGCCGGCCGCCUAGCCUGCACCCCCCGCCCUGGGAGGGAAGCCUCGCUCCAGCCGCGUCGUUUCCGCGCCGAAGUGCGAUCCGGGGCCCCGCGCUGGAGUCCCCUGCUCUCAGGUGGCAGUUGCUGGAGUACCAGGGCACCAAGUGGAGGAUGUGGUAGACAGCCUCUAAGAUGCGCCCCCUGCCAAUGAUCUCUGCCUCCAGGGAGGAGCUAGAAGGCAGAGAGAAAGCCACUCAGGACUUCCCAUCCCAGAAGAUAAAGGUGAGGAAAGCAGCAGCAGCAGCCACAGGCCAGUAUUCCAGAGCAGCUUUGGGUUCCUGUCAAGACCUGCUUUGAGAAGGAGGUGGCUGUGGGGCUGGAGGGCUGGGCCUGUUCCUGAGCUGGCUGCUGGCAGCACAGCAAUGAGGCAACAUUGAGAACUGCGACACGAGGCCCAGUCCUGCUACUAAACCAACUGUGUGGACUUGCAUAGUCACUUCACCCCUCGGGCCUCCAUUUCUCCACUUUGGAAAGCAGUGUUGGGACGAUGUUAAGGGUUUGCAACCUUCCAACAUGAAGACUUAUUUUUAAAAGCAAAACAUUUCAAAGAGUCCACAUGACAGUAGUGUUCAUUUUGGCAUCUGUUGAUUUAACAAAUACAAAAUUAGGCUGGGUGUAGUUGCUAACGCCUGUAAUUCCAGCACUUUGGGAGACCGAGGCAGGAGGAUCACCUGAAAUCAGGAGUUCGAGACCAGCCUGGCCAACAUGGUGGAACUCCAUCACUACCAAAAAUACAAAAAUUAGCUGGGCUUGGUGGCACGUGCCUGUAAUCCCAGCUACUCGGGAGGCUGAGGCAGGAGAAUCAUUUGAACCCGGGAGGCAGAGGUUGCAGUGACCUGAGAUUGCACCACUGUACUCCAGCCUGGGCAACAGGGCAAGACUCCAUUAAAAAAAAAAAUACAAAAUUAGGCAUGGUGGUGUUCGUCUGUAGUCCCAUCUAUUUGAGAGGUUAAGGCGGGAGGAUCACUUGAGCUCAGGAGUUUGAGUUUGCAGUGAGCUGUGGUCUGCCUGUGAAUAGCUGCUGCAGUACAGCUUGGGCAACAUAGUGAGAUUCCAUCUCUAGUCUUUAAAAAAAGGAAAAAUACGGCCGGGCGCGGUGGCUCACACUUGUAAUCCUAGCACUUUGGGAGGUCGAGGAGAGAGGAUCACCUGAGGUCAGGAGUUCGAGACCAGCUUGGCCAACAUGGCGAAACCCAUCUCUACUAAAAAUACAAAAAUUAGCUGGGUGUGGUGGCGCACGCCUGUAAUCCUAGCUACUCAGGAGGCUGAGGCAGGAGAAUUGCUUGAACCAGGAGGGAGAGGUUGCAGUGAGCCAAGAUCGUACCACUGCGCUCCAGCUUGGGCAACAUAGAGAGAUCCCAUCUCUAUUUUUUUAAAAAGGAAAAAUACAAGGGAUACCAGAGCACUGGGCCAGUGCUUGUUAUAAAGUCCAUCAAUGGGCCAGGCACGGAGGCUCACACCUGUAAUCCCAACACUUUGGGAAGCCGAAGUGGGUGAAUCAUGAGGUCAGGAGUUCGAGAUCAGUCUGGCCAACAUGGUGAAACCCUGUCUCUACUAAAACUUGGUAGUUUUUUGUAAAAUUAGCUGGGCGUAGUUGUGGGCGCCUGUAAUCCCAGCUACUUGGGAGGCUGAGGCAGGAGAAUCCUUUGAACCCCGGAGGCAGAGGUUUCAGUGAGCCGAGAUCACGCCACUGCACUCCAGCCUGAGUGAAGAGCGAAACUCCGUUUCAAAAAAAUAAAAUAAAAUAAAAAAUAAAAAAAUAAAGUCCAUCAAUGAUGCCAAUAUUAUGGAACAAAAUUUAAAAGCAGGGUGAUGAGUAAUGUUUGUUACUUUUUGGCUACUCAGUUUUGGAGUCCCUUCCCAGGUUUGUGGAAGAUGCCAUCUUAGGAGUCUUCGUGGAAGCUGGAGCCUGUUGCUUAGCCGUCAACAUAGAGGCUGAAAAUGCCAGAUGCUUCUCAGCCUCCUUUAGCUGCAGGGUUUAGUCAUGUGAUCUGGGCUGGGCCCAUCAGGUGCCAUGGACUGAGGAGCCUGGACCAAGCCAGAGCCCAACACAGAACCUUUUCUGGUGGAAGUGGCCAUGGCUACUGCAGCCUUGUCUAGAUUCCAGGGCAACAGCAGCAGGGUCAUGGUUCAGACCCCAGCCAUGGUUGUGGCACAGCUGCCCAGGGCUCUGAGAACAGAGCAGGACUCUCUGGAUAGCUUGUGCACCACAGUUCUGGCCAUGCUCCUGGCUGCUGUCUGGCACCGUUUGUUCUCAUUCAUGCCCUGAACCUGGCUCUUCAGCCUUCCCAGAGACUCUGUGGGCUGCCCAGCAUCCUUCCCAAAAAUCCCUCUUCUGUUUUAAAUUAUCCAGAGCCAGUUUCUGUUGCAUUUUUAAGUCAGAGUUCUGACCAAUUCACAGUCUUAUUUCAGUCUCCGCAUCCAACUUAUUUUUGUAUUUUGCUUUGGUACACACGGUUCUGAGAAAAUUCUAAUCAUACAGAUGGAUGGUUAUAAAUAAUAAUGAUAACAACUAUUACUGGCUGGGCACGGUGCCUCCUGCCUGUCAUCCCAGCACUUUGGGAGGCUAGGGCAGGAGGAUCACUUGAACCCAGGAGUUCAAGACCAGCCUGUGCAACAUAGUGAGACCCCAUCCCUACAAAAAAAAUUUAAAAAAUAGCCAGGCAUGGUGGUGCGGGUCUGUAGUUCCAGCUACUUGGGAGACUGAGGUGGGAGGAUUGCUUGAGCCCAGGAAGUUGAGACUGUAGUGAGCCAUGAUCGCACCACUGCACUCUAACCUGAGUGACAAAGCGAGACACAACAAUGACAGCCACAAAAAAACUAUUACAUAGCACUCACUAUAUGCCAGGCCCUGUCUUAACCA